Molecule: ribosomal RNA, 1188 nt
Filed under: Tullbergia mixta
Lineage: Eukaryota; Metazoa; Arthropoda; Collembola; Poduromorpha; Tullbergiidae
Description: 16S ribosomal RNA
Rfam family: Bacterial large subunit ribosomal RNA (bases 774-1114)
Source: RNAcentral
UGGGAGAGUUAGAGUUAAUAAAAAUUAUAAGUGCGUUAGUACAUAAAAAGAAGACAUAGAGGGGUAUUAGACGAAAGUUGGUUUGUAGGCAAUAAAUGUGGCUAAGAGUGUACCUUUUGUAUUAGGGACAGAAUAAUUUUUUAUUAUUGUAGUUUCCCGAAAAGAAAGGAUUUUCUUUGGUUAGCAGAAAGUGUAGAAUAACUGUUGAGACCAGAGAGGAAUAGAUAUUAUAGACGAUUUUUUAGAUAUCUGGUUUUUUUAAAGUAAAUUUAGUUUAUUAUAGGUUUGGGGGUUAAACAUGGGGUUAAGGGCUUAUUAGCUAUAAAAAUACGAGUGGGGAUGAUCUUAUUUGUUGUUGAGGGUUAUAAUUAAAAUAUGGGGGUUUAGUUUAAGUGGGCUUAGAAGUAGCUAUCUGAGGAGUUAGUUAAAUUACUGAUUUGGUUUUAUUUCAUUAAGAAUAGUUUGACGAAUAAAAAAGAAUACGAUUAAAAUUGUUUAAAUUGGGUAAUAAUUUUUGUAUAAGUAGAUUUAUUGGUUAAAUUAAUUAAAGUUGAAGAAAAGGGGGUAUGAAUUCGGCAUUUAUUUAUUUGACUGUUUACCAAAAACAUUUUUUUGUGUUAAGUUACAAAGUAUGGUCUGCUCACUGGUUAGACUGAAGAGCCGCGGUAUUUUGACCGUGCAAAGGUAGCAUAAUCAUUAGUCUCUUAAUUAGGGAAUGGUAUGAAUGGCUGAACAAAUAAGUUUUUUAUUACUGAGAUUUUUGAAUUUGAAAUAAAAGUGAAAAUGCUUUUAUAGGCCUAAGGGACGAUAAGACCCUAUAGAUCUUAACUAGAUUUAUUUAGUUUCAUUGGGGAAAUGUGAGAGUAAGAGAAAUCUCUUGAUGUAGUUAAAAUGUAAUUUUGACCUGAAAUUUGGGGUUUAAAAAAAGUUACCUUAGGGAUAACAGCGUUAUUAUUUUUGAGAGCCCUUAUCGAUAAAAUAGUUUGCGACCUCGAUGUUGAAUUAUGGUUUCUUUUUAGGGUAGUUUUUAUUAUAGGAUGGUCUGUUCGACCUUUAAAUCCAUACAUGAUUUGAGUUCAAACCGGCGUGAGCCAGGUUGGUUUCUAUCUUUAGGAGGGAGUUUGGUGUUUAGUACGAAAGGAUUGGCAUUUAGCAGUAAUUGUUGGUUCGGAAAUUUAUAAGUAAAGA